This 766-nucleotide ribosomal RNA is filed under the name uncultured bacterium. Its description in RNAcentral is "bacterial SSU rRNA". It matches the Rfam family "Bacterial small subunit ribosomal RNA", at positions 557 to 1325 of the family's 1533-position model. The record is from RNAcentral.
GGCGUAAAGAGCUCGUAGGUCGUUUGUUACGUCGGGUGUGAAAACCUGAGGCUCAACCUCAGGCCUGCAUUCGAUACGGGCAAACUAGAGUUUGGUAGGGGAGACUGGAAUUCCUGGUGUAGCGGUGGAAUGCGCAGAUAUCAGGAGGAACACCAAUGGCGAAGGCAGGUCUCUGGGCCAAUACUGACACUGAGGAGCGAAAGUCUGGGGAGCGAACAGGAUUAGAUACCCUGGUAGUCCAGACCGUAAACGGUGGGCACUAGUUGUGGGAACCUUCCACGGUUUCUGCGACGCGGCUAACGCAUUAAGUGCCCCGCCUGGGGAGUACGAUCGCAAGAUUAAAACUCAAAGGAAUUGACGGGGCCCCGCACAAGCAGCGGAGCAUGCCGGCUUAAUUCGACGCAACGCGAAGAACCUUACCAAGGCUUGACAUAUAGGGAAAAGUGGCAGAGAUGUCAUGUCCGCAAGGGCUCUAUACAGGUGGUGCAUGGUUGUCGUCAGCUCGUGUCGUGAGAUGUUGGGUUAAGUCCCGCAACGAGCGCAACCCUCGUUCUGUGUUGCCAGCAUUUAGUUGGGGACUCACAGGAGACUGCCGGGGUUAACUCGGAGGAAGGUGGGGAUGACGUCAAAUCAUCAUGCCCCUUAUGUCUUGGGCUGCACGCAUGCUACAAUGGCCGGUACAGAGGGCUGCAAUACCGCAAGGUGGAGCGAAUCCCAAAAAGCCGGUCUCAGUUCGGAUUGAGGUCUGCAACUCGACCUCAUGAAG